RNAcentral lists this ribosomal RNA (511 nucleotides) under Geobacillus sp. T6. RNAcentral's name for it is "bacterial LSU rRNA". It matches the Rfam family "Bacterial large subunit ribosomal RNA", at positions 1710 to 2219 of the family's 2925-position model. The record is from RNAcentral. Lineage: Bacteria; Bacillati; Bacillota; Bacilli; Caryophanales; Anoxybacillaceae.
GAACUCGGCAAAAUGACCCCGUAACUUCGGGAGAAGGGGUGCUCUUUGGGGUGAAGAGCCCUGAAGAGCCGCAGUGAAAAGGCCCAAGCGACUGUUUAUCAAAAACACAGGUCUCUGCGAAGCCGAAAGGCGACGUAUAGGGGCUGACACCUGCCCGGUGCUGGAAGGUUAAGGGGAGCGCUUAGCGGAAGCGAAGGUGCGAACCGAAGCCCCAGUAAACGGCGGCCGUAACUAUAACGGUCCUAAGGUAGCGAAAUUCCUUGUCGGGUAAGUUCCGACCCGCACGAAAGGUGUAACGACUUGGGCGCUGUCUCAACGAGAGACCCGGUGAAAUUAUACUACCUGUGAAGAUGCAGGUUACCCGCGACAGGACGGAAAGACCCCGUGGAGCUUUACUGCAGCCUGAUAUGGAAUUUUGGUAUCGCUUGUACAGGAUAGGUGGGAGCCUGGGAAGCCGGAGCGCCAGCUUCGGUGGAGGCGGCGGUGGGAUACCACCCUGGCGGUAUUGAAA